AGAGUUUGAUCAUGGCUCAGAGCGAACGCUGGCGGCGUUAACACAUGCAAGUCGAGUGCGCGUUUUCGUAGCAAUACGGAAAUGGCGCACGGCGCACGGGUGCGUAACACGUGGGUAAUCUGCCCUCUGAUGGGGAAUAACUCGCCGAAAGGCGAGCUAAUUCCGCAUAACAUUCCUUGGACUCCGGUUCGAGGAUUCAAAGGCGUAAGUCGUCGGAGGUGGAGCCCGCGCACGAUUAGCUAGUUGGUGAGGUAAUGGCUCACCAAGGCUAUGAUCGUUAGCUGGUCUGAGAGGAUGGCCAGCCACACUGGAACUGAGACACGGUCCAGACUCCUACGGGAGGCAGCAGUGGGGAAUCUUGCACAAUGGGCGAAAGCCUGAUGCAGCGACGCCGCGUGGGGGAUGAAGCUUCUCGGAGUGUAAACCCCUUUCGACCGGGACGAAUACCUCGCAAGAGGGGUGACGGUACCGGUAUAAGAAGCCCCGGCUAACUACGUGCCAGCAGCCGCGGUAAGACGUAGGGGGCCAGCGUUGCUCGGAAUUACUGGGUGUAAAGGGUUCGUAGGCGGUGUGGCAAGUCGGGAGUGAAAUCUCUGGGCUCAACCCAGGGGCUGCUUCCGAAACUGCCGUGCUAGAGUGUGGGAGAGGCGCGUGGAAUUGCAGGUGUAGCGGUGAAAUGCGUAGAUAUCUGCAGGAACACCCGUGGCGAAAGCGGCGCGCUGGACCACUACUGACGCUGAGGAACGAAAGCUAGGGGAGCAAACAGGAUUAGAUACCCUAGUAGUCC
This 787-nucleotide ribosomal RNA is filed under the name uncultured bacterium. RNAcentral describes it as "bacterial SSU rRNA". It matches the Rfam family "Bacterial small subunit ribosomal RNA", at positions 8 to 796 of the family's 1533-position model. The record is from RNAcentral.